This 221-nucleotide ribosomal RNA is filed under the name Gentiana hyalina. Lineage: Eukaryota; Viridiplantae; Streptophyta; Magnoliopsida; Gentianales; Gentianaceae. The record is from RNAcentral.
AUCGCGUCGCCCCCCAAAACCGUGCAUGAAACAUUGCCGGUUGUCGAGGGACGGACAUUGCUUCCCGUGCUUCGUUGCGGCUGCAUAAAUGUGAGUCCCUUGUGACGGACACGACGACAAGUGGUGGUUGAUUUCUUCAACUAAGGUGUGUCGCUCGUCUGCCUGUCRGAUGAGGAGACUUCCAUGACCCUCAUACCACUUACGACGCCUGCCACGACCGC